UGGGUUAUUUUUGACCCAUAAUGGGUAAAUAUUGGACAGAACACGUGCUGGGUUAAAAAUGUACCCAUGCUGGGUUAAAAAUGACCCAAUGUUGGGUUGUUGUUAUGCAACCAUGGGGUAUAAUAACCCAGCAGUUGGGUUAAAAUAACCCAGCAUUGGGUCAUUUUUUAACCCAGCAUGUGUUCUGUCCAAUAUUUACCCAGCAUGGGUCAAAAAUAACCCAGCCAUUUUUAGAGUGUAAGAAUCAUAAAUUAGCAUUUGUCUUACUCUUUUAUUUUACUUUUUUUUUUUGUACAAAAAAAAUGUAAUCAUUAUUGUGCUUUGUUUGCAGAAGUCAUGUACCACACAUUGUCAAACCUGAAGAAGUGUAUCUUCCUGCAAUCUGGGCUCCAGACCUGGAGAUUGAAGUUCCUAAAGGUUGAUGUUUAUCAAGCUUGUGACCUUAUUGCAUGGUGUUAUUUUUUACAUUUAUAUAUCUAAUACACAUUUGCUAAUACAGAUAAAUUUAAUAUUUUGUGGGUUAUUUUUUUAUUUUAUUUAACCAGUUGUUGUAUAUUGAAAUCUGUUAUUACAUUUUAUGCACUCCAACUGUAAAUGUUUUGUUUUAAUUGCAUCUUUAUUGUUUUAAACAAUUUAAUUAAUGUGGGGUUUUGUUAGCUUUUAUGUUAUUCUUGUAUUUUUUGGCUAUUUAUUUGUUUUUGUUUUUAUUAUCCUUCUGUUAAUUUGCCAGAUUUUGACCUUCUAUUUGUUUUUCCUGUAAUCUCACUUCAAUUAUUUCUGUUUUUCAAUGAUACAUUUUUGUCACAGUCCCAAUUUGUUCCUGCUUGUUUCUCAAUGUUUCCCCAUACAUCAUCCAUUUGGACUUCAUUUCCCAUAAUCCUUUUCAUUCUCUCACCUGAACUGUGUUUGUUAUUAUCCUCACCUGACAGUCAUCCCCCUCAUCACUCCAUUGUCUAAAUACCCUGCUUUUCCCUUUGUCUAGGUCAGUUCUUGUUUAUAGUGAUGUGUUGUGUGUUUUGCUGUUUACCAGUUUCCAUGUUCCUUGUUUUAUAUUAAUUAAAGAUUAUCAUUUUGGAUUCAU
Misgurnus anguillicaudatus (oriental weatherfish) is the source of this 1081-nucleotide non-coding RNA. NCBI's taxonomy places the organism in Eukaryota, Metazoa, Chordata, Actinopteri, Cypriniformes, Cobitidae. The record is from RefSeq and is a predicted model, not a curated record.